Molecule: ribosomal RNA, 522 nt
Filed under: Levilactobacillus brevis
Lineage: Bacteria; Bacillati; Bacillota; Bacilli; Lactobacillales; Lactobacillaceae
Description: bacterial SSU rRNA
Rfam family: Bacterial small subunit ribosomal RNA
Source: RNAcentral
ACAGGUGCUAAUACCGUAUAACAACAAAAUCCGCAUGGAUUUUGUUUGAAAGGUGGCUUCGGCUAUCACUUCUGGAUGAUCCCGCGGCGUAUUAGUUAGUUGGUGAGGUAAAGGCCCACCAAGACGAUGAUACGUAGCCGACCUGAGAGGGUAAUCGGCCACAUUGGGACUGAGACACGGCCCAAACUCCUACGGGAGGCAGCAGUAGGGAAUCUUCCACAAUGGACGAAAGUCUGAUGGAGCAAUGCCGCGUGAGUGAAUAAGGGUUUCGGCUCGUAAAACUCUGUUGUUAAAGAAGAACACCUUUGAGAGUAACUGUUCAAGGGUUGACGGUAUUUAACCAGAAAGCCACGGCUAACUACGUGCCAGCAGCCGCGGUAAUACGUAGGUGGCAAGCGUUGUCCGGAUUUAUUGGGCGUAAAGCGAGCGCAGGCGGUUUUUUAAGUCUGAUGUGAAAGCCUUCGGCUUAACCGGAGAAGUGCAUCGGAAACUGGGAGACUUGAGUGCAGAAGAGGACAGUGG